AAACAAAUUUUCAUUCAUUUUAUCACAAUUUUUGAGACUAAAUGUUAUCAUAGGCUGUGCAUUUGAGAUACACUUUACAAUAAUAUUAGAACUUGAAAUAUUUAUAUAGGUACAGAAAAGUAUGUGUAAAAUACUUAACUUUUUAACUCCCAAAUGGGGCAAGGUACUCUUCCUAUAAAUAAUUAUGUAAAAAACUUUUGUUUUAUAAAUUUUUCAAAUUAAUAUCUUGAUAAAUCGUUAGAUUAUCGGAACCACCUCCAACGAUCUUAACUUUGACAUAUGUUGUAAACGACGUGUCCGUAACAUGCGAGAUGGAAUACUUCGUUAUGGAACCAAAGAAGAACAUUCCAUACUGGAUAAACAGCCAAGAACAUCCGGAACAAAGCAUUAACGAGCUACUUCCGUCAAAUUGUGGUCAGCGCGCCAAAGAUUUCGAUGACGAUGGAGACUUAAUAUUUCAAAAAGUAGUGCAUGGCUCCAUUGCACCAAAAGACACUUAUCCCUGGCAGGCCAGCAUUCGAGUUCGAAGGCACAGUCGAUCAAAUCAUUGGUGUGGUGCUGUUAUUAUAUCACCUCUACACGUGUUAACAGCGGCACAUUGUUUAGAAGGUUACAACAAAGGCACCUAUUUUGUAUGUGCGGGAGAUUAUAACACGGAUAUAAACGAAGGAACGGAAGUGGAAGCCAAUAUCGAGGAUUAUUACGUGCACGAAGACUUUCGUAAAGGAUGCACAUACUUCAGAUUCUUUUGCAGCGCAAUCAAAGGAUUUACGACUUGGCUGAGUGCCCUUGUUAGAUCAGUCAGUUUGCCAGCUAGUUAUGUUUAUGGUGAAGGUGCCAUAAGCGACGGAAUGAUAUGCGCUGGAGGAUAUCUUGAUGAGGGUAUCGACUAUCGACACAUGUGAUGGCGAUUCUGGAGGCUCUUUAGCCUGCUACCAUAAUGGAGCUUUCAGUUUAUACGGGAUAACUAGUUGGAGUCAACAUUGCGGCAAAGCGAAUAGACCUGGAGUUUACGUUCGCGUAGCGUAUUAUCGUCGUUGCAUCGAUCAAAAAAUUAGGGAAUCGCUAUUUAUUUCGUAAGACAUCUUCAUUUCCUACAGUAAUUGUAAUUGUGGAUUUUCUGUGACUUUUACAUGAUUGAGCCUAUUUUAUGUGUACAAUAGCUCCAAUAUAUUUAAUCCGAGGCGACUCAGUCCAAGGUGACAAUUCAACGGAUGGCAUUUAUAAAAAUUGAAUGGAAGAUAUAUAUAGCUGCGAAAAGAAGGCUAUGUUUUCAAUGUAAACUUAUAUAGCUGUCUAUAGUGAAUAACAUUACGCUAUUUUAUGAUUGAUUUAUUAUCAGAAUAGAUCAGACAAAAACUAAAAUUGUUCGCUUAUUAAAUUAUUUCUUACAACAUUAAUUUUCUUAAAAGGCAUAUGAAUAUAAAACCAAUGAGAACAUUAUAAUUAGUAUAUAAAAUAUCACGAUAUCAAGAAACAACAUAUCGAUUUUUUAUAUAAAAUUUGGAAAGAUUGUCUUAUACUUUAACACGAAGAUUGUACCGAAAGUCAUGAUCGCUAAUUUGCAAAAAUCUAAGAUUUUACAAGCAGAGAAGACAUAUACAUAUCAGACAGUUCUACGAAUAUUUCUCUAUUUUUCUGCACAUCUCUAGCUAGAUUAAUAUGUUUUGUUAAAGUUCUCACAAAAAAUUUAAGGAUACCAUUAUAGCGAUAAAAGUUUGUUUCAGCUUUUUGCUUAAAAUGUCGUAUUGUAUUUUUGAUACUAACAACAUUUAUGCUAAAAGAUUUAUAUGCAUCAAUAAUCAUCAUUUUCGGUGCAAUCUUUGUAGAACUGAAAGUCCAACUUUCAUAUUUAUGUCAUAUGUCAUAUCGAUUUAUCUUAUAGCGUAUAUCAUAUCGAUUUUUGUUGCGUUUACAAACGUUUGCGAAUAAAAAGAAGUUUAUAAAUUAUAUUAGGUACAUGAUUGUUACAAUUUUUUCUUGGCAAAAAAUUAAUGAUCUUAAAUACCAAUCUUGUAAAUAAGAUUUGCCGUUUGAAAUUUGCCAUAAUACCAUUUUUCAGUGCGUAUGCAGAAAAAAAAUAAUUAGAGAUAUGUUAAAUACAUCAAUUAUAUUUGCUAUGAAAUAAUGAACAAAAGGUGAAUUGUUCAUAAAAUUCUAAAAGGAGAUAUCCUAUCUGCCAUAUGUUGCAAUUACGACUUUAUAUUACUUAAGACUUAAGGGAAUGUUGAUCAAAAAUAUGUGCGCUUAAUAUGGAAAUUAAUAUUAAAUCUAACUUGUGAAUUCGCUUAAUUUAGGCAUAGAAUGGCCCGAAUCUGUGUCACUGGGAAAUAUGUCAUAACGAUUUAUCACAAUAAUAUACCUAAUAAUAAAUUUAUAAAACGCUAUAAUAAAUAUAAAAUGUACUUUUCAAAAUAUUUGGAUAAUAGCAUAAUAGUUUCUUUAGAACAUUACGUAAUUGAGAAAAGACUAUAGAAAAUUGUGUUGUACAGUGUACAGCGCAUUUGUGCAAUGGGCAUUUUGAUUAGAAUUGGAAGUCUCGAGAAAAUUUUUAUAAAUAAUUUUUAUAAAUAAUUUAAAUUUAAAUAUUGUUAAAUUGGUGGUAAUACAUAAUUAC
This is an RNA transcript of Temnothorax curvispinosus, 2617 nucleotides long. It is a transcript of the gene named chymotrypsin-like elastase family member 3B, with no coding region annotated. The transcript has 7 exons. Lineage: Eukaryota; Metazoa; Arthropoda; Insecta; Hymenoptera; Formicidae. The record is from RefSeq and is a predicted model, not a curated record.